GAAAUGCGAUAAGUAGUGUGAAUUGCAGAAUUCAGUGAAUCAUCGAAUCUUUGAACGCAAAUUGCGCCCCUUGGUAUUCCAUGGGGCAUGCCUGUUCGAGCGUCAUUUGUACCCUCAAGCUCUGCUUGGUGUUGGGUGUUUGUCCCGUCUCCGCGCGUGGACUCGCCCCAAAGUGAUUGGCAGCCGGCGUACUGGUCCCGGAGCGCAGCACAUGUCGCGCAAACGAGUGCCUUGGUACGGCGGCGUCCAUAAGCCCCUCUCUCACGCUCUUGACCUCGGAUCAGGUAGGGAUACCCGCUGAACUUAAGC
RNAcentral lists this unclassified non-coding RNA (309 nucleotides) under plant metagenome. Its description in RNAcentral is "partial contains 5.8S ribosomal RNA, internal transcribed spacer 2, and large subunit ribosomal RNA". The stretch from base 1 to 105 matches the Rfam family "5.8S ribosomal RNA", at positions 50 to 154 of the family's 154-position model. The record is from RNAcentral.